AAUAAAGUGUAGAAGAGGAUAAGUAAAAAAAUGAUGUCUUAAAGAGAGAACCAUCACCGGCUGAAAGUGGUUCAGGCCGCUCAUUUUUUGAAAUGCACCUCUGAGCCUCAUUUCGAAAGGGAUUUUUCUAGAGUAGAAAUGGGCGGAACCUUUCCGUUAACAGGUAGAGUGAGACCAUUUUGAAGUUUUGCAGUAAUUUAAAUGACUGUUAACUUUGGUCUAAUCAGAGUGGAACCGCGCUAAAGCGUCUCUGUC
Molecule: non-coding RNA, 255 nt
Filed under: Bacillus sp. (in: firmicutes)
Lineage: Bacteria; Bacillati; Bacillota; Bacilli; Caryophanales; Bacillaceae
Description: Bacillus sp. T-box sequence
Rfam family: T-box leader
About the family: Uncharged tRNA acts as the effector for transcription antitermination of genes in the T-box leader family. T-boxes are found upstream of many aminoacyl-tRNA synthetase genes and some amino acid biosynthetic genes usually in Gram-positive bacteria. The anticodon of a specific tRNA base pairs to a specifier sequence within the T-box motif, and the NCCA acceptor tail of the tRNA base pairs to a conserved bulge in the T-box antiterminator hairpin.
Source: RNAcentral